AAGUCGAGGGGUAGCAGGAAUUGCUUGCAAUUCGCUGACGACCGGCGCACGGGUGCGUAACGCGUAUGCAACCUACCUUCAACGAGGGGGAUAGCAGGGGAAACCCUGAUUAAUACCCCAUAAUAAUCAAUUUCGCAUGUUAUUGAAAUUUAAAACUCCGGUGGUUGAAGAUGGGCAUGCGUCCUGUUAGUUUGUUGGUGAGGUAACGGCUCACCAAGACUACGAUAGGUAGGGGGCCUGAGAGGGUGAUCCCCCACACUGGUACUGAGACACGGACCAGACUCC
Molecule: ribosomal RNA, 285 nt
Filed under: unidentified marine bacterioplankton
Lineage: Bacteria
Description: partial 16S ribosomal RNA
Rfam family: Bacterial small subunit ribosomal RNA
Source: RNAcentral